RNAcentral lists this ribosomal RNA (31 nucleotides) under Acacia linearifolia. Its description in RNAcentral is "partial 18S ribosomal RNA". The record is from RNAcentral. Lineage: Eukaryota; Viridiplantae; Streptophyta; Magnoliopsida; Fabales; Fabaceae.
GGUUGAUCCUGCCAGUAGUCAUAUGCUCAGU